Molecule: ribosomal RNA, 497 nt
Filed under: uncultured bacterium
Lineage: Bacteria
Description: partial 16S ribosomal RNA
Rfam family: Bacterial small subunit ribosomal RNA (bases 54-497)
Source: RNAcentral
GGGGGGGGGGGGGGGGGGGGGGGGGGGGGGGGGGGGGGGGGAGGGGGGGGGGGGCGGGCGGCGGGGGCGUGAGGGGCGGACGGGGGAGUAACGCGUGGAUAACCUACCGAUGAGACUGGGAGAACUUCGGGAGGCCGGCGCUAAGACCGGAUACUAUAGUGAACCGCAGGGUUCAAUGGUGAAAGACGGUGUUGCGGUCACUGAUAGAUGGAUCCGCGCCGCAUUAGCUAGUUGGUACGGGAACAGCUUACCAAGGCAACGAUGCGUAGCCGCCGUGAGAGGGUGAUCGGCCACACUGGAACUGAGACACGGUCCAGACUCCUACGGGAGGCAGCAGUAGGGAAUCUUCCGCAAUGGGCGAAAGCUUGACGGAGCAACGCCGCGUGAGUGAUGAAGGUCUUCGGAUCGUAAAACUCUGUUAUUAGGGAAGAACAAAUGUGUAAGUAACUAUGCCCGUCUUGACGGUACCUAAUCAGAAAGCCACGGCUAACUACGUG